Molecule: transfer-messenger RNA, 349 nt
Filed under: bovine gut metagenome
Rfam family: transfer-messenger RNA
About the family: Bacterial tmRNA, also known as 10Sa RNA or SsrA, is named for its dual tRNA and mRNA-like properties. Its role is to liberate the mRNA from a stalled ribosome.
Source: RNAcentral
GGGGCUGACUGGCUUUGACAGCGUGUAGAGGUGGUAAGCAAGCAUGCAGAGCGAUAAUGGCAUGGCUCUCUAAUCUCAGUCAUUGACUCAAUUAAAUGGCGAAAACAAUUACGCUCUCGCUGCCUAACCGAAGAACAGUAAGUUCGGCUUUAUCGCUGCCCAAGGGGCAGUGACGAGACAUCACCCAACUGCCCUCGCGCCGAGGCGGGUUGAUCAGGUGGUGCAGGAAUAUCGGCGAUAGGAUACGGUGACGGGCCUGCCUUUGGUCGAAAACCAAGCCGAGACUAAGCAUGUAGAAACCUUAUUAGUUCCACGUUUGGACGAGGGUUCAAACCCCUCCAGCUCCACA